GAUGAACGCUAGCGGCAGGCUUAACACAUGCAAGUCGAGGGGCAGCGUGGAGCAGCAAUGCUCUGACGGCGACCGGCGGAAGGGUGCGUAACACGUGAGCGACUUGCCCGUCACAGGGGGAUAACCGGCGGAAACGGCGACUAAUACCCCAUACGAUGUGAUGCUGCAUGGCAUUGCAUUGAAAGAUUCAUCGGUGGCGGAUAGGCUCGCGGGACAUUAGCUAGACGGCGGGGCAACGGCCCACCGUGGCGACGAUGUCUAGGGGUUCUGAGAGGAAGGCCCCCCANACUGGGACUGAGACACGGCCCAGACUCCUACGGGAGGCAGCAGUGAGGAAUAUCGGGUCAAUGGGCGGAAGCCUGAACCAGCCAUGCCGCGUGAAGGCUAAGGCCCUACGGGUCGUAAACUUCUUUUAUAAGGGAAUAACAGACGUUACGUGUAGCGUUUUGCAUGUACCUUAUGAAUAAGCAUCGGCUAACUCCGUGCCAG
Molecule: ribosomal RNA, 489 nt
Filed under: uncultured bacterium
Lineage: Bacteria
Description: bacterial SSU rRNA
Rfam family: Bacterial small subunit ribosomal RNA
Source: RNAcentral